Molecule: RNA transcript, 3681 nt
Organism: Epinephelus moara (kelp grouper)
Lineage: Eukaryota; Metazoa; Chordata; Actinopteri; Perciformes; Serranidae
Exons: 4
Source: RefSeq, a predicted model, not a curated record
AUGACAAAUAAAUACAUAAAAGGUUUUAAAGAAUGUGUAAGCAAUCAAAGAAAACAAAGGAGUGUUACUUCUCAGUGGACGGACUCUGUCCAAAGUUGUCUGGGAGUGGUUAAAAGCAGGACCAAAGCAUCUGCAGCAAGCCAGCACCCUCCUCUGGGCCUGGGAGCAGCUCAAGGCAAGUUUUGUUAGAAAACCACAGUGUGGCGGGUAGCCUUCUGAGAUUUUCUUACCAAACAGAAAAUCUACCCGCAUUUGGCGCUUGGCAGAUGUUGAUUUCGGAAAAGGUCAAGGUUAGUGAGACCUCACAAAUCAAAAAUUCUUUUGCUAAUUAUGACAAAACUUCACACAGAUGUCUAACAGGAUAAAAUGAUGAAGUGACAACAUUUUAUAUCCAAAAGGUCAAAGGUCAACUUCACUGUGACAUCAUAAGCAAUACUCUGAUAAGUAAGUCAUUUGUCAUGCUGCAUACUACAUGUGCUACAAUUACUGAGCACUAUGUGUGUAUAAGAUUACAGUACGUUACAAUAUGUAUUUAACAGUCAUAAUCACAAAAGUAGCAACAGUAUUAUCAGUAAUAAAGGCUGUAGUAGUAUGUGGGAGAUGGAAAACACUGAUAUAUAAUGUGUAGUUGCUGUUUCAAAUGGAGAUUCUGCUGCUGUAAACUGACGCACGCACACACACACACACACACACACACACACACAGGCUUGUGUCUGUCAGAGUGAAGCCAUUGUUAUUCUAAUUAAUGAGCAGUAUGUAGUUGAGUGAGACAAGGUGACAGCUCAAGUACUUCAAGAUGGCUUUAAAAUUUCUGAAACUAGUCCUUCCUCUUCCCAAACCAUGGGUCCAAUCAUCAAUCUGAAUAUACCACAAGAGAGAUACACUCGUCCCGAAUGCAGAUAUAUAUAGCUUUCAUGUUUGUGGAGUCAAAAAGCGAUCUUAGUCGCAAGUUUACAAUGUCUAGCUCACAGCUGACACAUUUGCUCAUGUUAUUUUCAGAGGCACUAGCUCAUUUCCUGUUGGAUUUAGGUCAGUGGUGUCAAUGAGUGAUUUGUAGGUCUCGAGGAGAUGAAGAAGCCAGUUUUGGUUUGAUCUUUCUACACCGUUCCUAAAGGGCGCAACAGCCAUUUUAGUGUGUCUAGGUAGUGCAAAAAUUGUCAAGAGGUUUUGUGACAUGUCACCUUUAACAGGGCAUAAAAUCCAAACCGUUCGAGUAAUGACAAAGUUGUUCAGAGGAAUUGUUUAGCAGGGCUUGGUCUGUCAUCUGUGCAUGUAUGAAGUCUAUACGAUAAACGGUGUAGGAGGAAAUAUUUUUUUAGUAAGAGAAUUUUUGAAAAAUGACAUCUUACUUUGAAAGGGCAAAUAGCUCACUAACUGUUGAAUUUAGGUCAGUGGUAUCAGCGCGUGAUUUGUAGGUCUUGAUGAGACGAACAAGCCAGUUUUGGUUUUGUCUUUCUACGACAUUCGUACCUUUGGUCGCCCUUCAGCCAAGGUCCCUAAUAAUAAACGCAUCAGAAACAAGAGGGACUUCGUCCUUCGGCCGAGGUCCCUAAUAAUAAACGUACCAUAAACAACAGGGACUUCAUCCUUUGGCCGAGGUCCCUAAUAACACAUAAAUGGUAUCAUUAGUCUUCUUGCUUGAUUCAGUGUUUCUCCUACAUUAAUAUCAGGGGGGCACUGACCUGACCUGACAUAGUUAUUGUUAUGGACAGUGUAAAUAACCAUCAACAGACAGAGAACAGUCAAACACACUGCUCACACAGCAGCGCAGCAUGGCACUGUACACACAGUGGAGCGAGCCUGUGUUGCGUUCAGGCGUUGUCACGUAAAUGACAAAUUACAUCACGCCGUAGCACAACACAGCAGCAUGUCAAGUGGGCUGAAACCGAGCAAAAUUGCUCAGUUUUUCAUUUGUGAUUAUAUAGUUUGUUAUGGAGUCUGUGAUUUCCCCGUGACACUUACAAAUGUUUGCGUAAUUGUGCUUUGUUGUUUUAUGAGGCUCUGGCGGCUUUCAGUAGUCCCUUUGUCUUUAACCCUUUAAAACCGGCGGGAGCGCCUGCGAUCCCAUUUGCAUAUUGAUUUUUAAAUGCUGGUAGAAUUGCAACCAAAUAAGAUAGAGCAAUAAUUCUUUUUGCAUUUAAAACUGGAGGAGUUACUCUAACUUACCAUGCAUUCAUCAUGUCCCAGAGUGCUGUUCCCUUGCACUGAUAGGUUUGUAGAAAAACAGUAAAAAGCACACAGAACAAAAACAUUAUAAUCCUGAUCACGGGUAUUCACAGCACUUCCUAUAUUGGACUAAACGUCAUCACGUUGUGAGCAUGAACUGUCACGUUAUUUUCUUGCGUGUCUUUCUCGCGACACUACCCGCGACAACAAGGAGGGAAGUCAUUUCCUGGGAAAUCUCUUUCUUUCUUUCGCGGUAAAUAUUUCUCCUAGCUUGUAGCCACACACUCGCUCUCGCUCUCGCUUUGCAUUUUAGCCUUUCACAACAACACUUAGACACACUCACCACACACUCACCACACACACACACACACCCGCACACAUAUUCAUGGAACCGCAACAACCCGGACGCGCCAAUCGGCUUUUCUCCUGGUGCGAAGCUUUCGAGCUAAUAACAGUGUCAGAGGAAGAUUCGGUCCACUCAUCUGGUCCGGAUUCUGCCGACAGCGGGGAUGAAGCCGACUUCAUCGAAGGGAGAGAUCCUUCAUAUGACAUGUAUGUAUAUAUUCAUGAAAUGUUGUUUGUUUUUGAUUUAGAGUAAAGUAAAGAAAAUAUAUAUGGAACACAAUUGAAAGCAUUUUGCACUAAAUACGCAUCAUUAUUGUAUUACUCUCAUGUUGAACAUAUCUAACACACUGUGUAACAUCUGUAUGCAGAGUUGAUGAUGAUGAUGAUGAGGAGGAAGUAGGAGUCUCAUCGCCCUGCAUCCCGGAGGGAGGCACAGGGAGAGGCAGAGGGAGAGGAAGGAGGGGAGGAAGGAGGCAGUCUCCAUCAAACAGAGGCUCCAGAGUUGACGACGAUGAUGAUGAGGAGGAAGUAGGGGUCUCCUCGCCCUGCAUCCAGGAGGGAGGCAGAGGGAGAGGAAGGAGGGGAGGAAGGAGACAGUCUCCAUCAAACAGAGGCUCCAGAGUUGACGACGAUGAUGAUGAGGAGGAAGUAGGGGUCUCAUCGCCCUGCAUCCCGGAGGGAGGCAGAGGGAGAGGCAGAGGGAGAGGAAGGAGGGGAGGAAGGAGUCGGUCUCCAGUAAACAGAGGCUCCAGGUCAGAGACACUCCCUGAUGAUGCAGCUGGCUGGAGAACCGAACAGGAGCCUGACAUCUUGCCACAUCCCCUACCACAUUUUCUGCCCAGAAGGAGGCCAGGUGUGCAGCCACCUCUGUUACAGUAUGUGGACAAUCCCUCUCCAUCUGAGCUGUUUGAGAUGUAUUUUGACCGGGCUGCCAUCAAAACACUGUGUAGCAAUACCAAUAGAAAUGCAGCAAAAAAUAUUGCUGCUGGCAAAAAAUUCAAAUGGACUGAGCUCAGAGAGUCCGAAAUGUAUCAGUACAUUGGGAUCACUCUGUACAUGGGGAUUCUCAAGCUGCCAAAGUUGAGGGAUUUUUGGCUUGGCAGUUCCAUUUUCUAGUGCUGCACGAUUUGAUAAAAAUGUGCGAUUGCGAUUAUGGUGGACAAUAUCGCA